ACGGGGCCGCACAAGCGGUGGAGCAUGUGGUUAAUUCGACGCAACGCGAAGAACCUUACCAGGGCUUGACAUCCCCUGACCGCGUAUGAAAGUACGUUUUCACCCUCGGGUGACAGGGAGACAGGUGGUGCAUGGUUGUCGUCAGCUCGUGUCGUGAGAUGUUGGGUUAAGUCCCGCAACGAGCGCAACCCCUACGUUUAGUUGCUAACGCGUGAAGGCGAGCACUCUAGACGAACUGCCGUUGACAAAACGGAGGAAGGUGGGAUGACGUCAAAUCAUCAUGCCCCUUAUGUUCUGGGCUACACACGUGCUACAAUGGCCGGUACAGACGGACGCAAAGCCGCGAGGUGGAGCAAAUCCUAAAAAGCCGGUCUCAGUUCGGAUUGCAGGCUGCAAUUCGCCUGCAUGAAGUCGGAAUCGCUAGUAAUCGCAGGUCAGCAUACUGCGGUCGAAUACGUUCCCGGGCCUU
RNAcentral lists this ribosomal RNA (469 nucleotides) under uncultured Pelotomaculum sp. Its description in RNAcentral is "bacterial SSU rRNA". It matches the Rfam family "Bacterial small subunit ribosomal RNA", at positions 917 to 1381 of the family's 1533-position model. Lineage: Bacteria; Bacillati; Bacillota; Clostridia; Eubacteriales; Desulfotomaculaceae. The record is from RNAcentral.